GCUAACGGCCAUACCACCCUGAAAAUGCCCGAUCUCAUCUGAACUCGGAAGUAAAGCAGGGUCGGGCCUGGUUAGUACUUGGAUGGGAGACCGCCUGGGAAUACCAGGUGCUGUAAAGC
This 119-nucleotide ribosomal RNA is filed under the name Danio rerio (zebrafish). The record is from RNAcentral. Lineage: Eukaryota; Metazoa; Chordata; Actinopteri; Cypriniformes; Danionidae.